RNAcentral lists this ribosomal RNA (120 nucleotides) under uncultured bacterium. Its description in RNAcentral is "partial 16S ribosomal RNA". It matches the Rfam family "Bacterial small subunit ribosomal RNA", at positions 796 to 915 of the family's 1533-position model. The record is from RNAcentral.
CACGCCGUAAACGAUGAAUACUAGGUGUAGGGGUUGUCAUGACCUCUGUGCCGCCGCUAACGCAUUAAGUAUUCCGCCUGGGGAGUACGGUCGCAAGAUUAAAACUCAAAGGAAUUGACG